GCUAUCUGAAAUUCAAUUGUGGAGGACUGGAGGCCGAUCGAUCUGGCUCCGCGUACGUUCCAUUCCCAGGGCUUUGUCUCUUCGUCUCUUCCGCUUUCUCUCUUGAAGUCCUACAAAUUAGAAAAAUCUCCAACCCAAUUAUCCUAGCAAGUGCUUAGAAGAUCUUGCGUUUAUUGAUCACAAUUAUUGUGAUUGAUCUAAAAAUAUAUUAUAGAUUAUGAUUUAUUUCAAGUUAUUAUAGAUUUGUCUUUGUCAAACAUUAGCACUUACUGUAAUAUUUUUCUGUCAUAACAUUAACUAUUUUUAUUACUUUCCUAAAAAAAACUACUUAUUACUUACUGUCGGUGAACCAUAAUCAUAUACUUGAACUUGUCCUGUGCCGCUAGCUCUGUCUCUACCUCAUGUCUUCAUGUUUCUCCAUGUAUUCGAUAACGAAAUUGUAUAUUUGCACAAGAUAAACUAACCUCAGACAGUGGAAAGCAGUGGACACACCUCAUGCGAGGCAAACUAUGAAACCGUUGCUCCAUCGAUGAACCGAAACGAAAAAAAAGACUACAAACAGAAAAAAAAGAGCUGCGAGAACCACGGACUCCAUGAAAUACGUAGUCCUUGACGCCUACAAAUAGACGAAAAUGGAGCCAGGAGCCCAUGACACACAAUCUUGUAAACGAUGCCAUUUCACCAUCAAAAUGCCACCGCUAAUAGCACGUAAACCUAACAAAAAAUAUAUUAUCAAACUAACAGCAACAAUUUAGAAUCGGAUGAAUAGAUGGCAAACAUUGAUUUGUAGUUUCCCUAACUCUCAAUCCACUGUUAGAGACCAGAAGGACAGCUGGAGAUUGAUUUUUUUUUCUACAAAAACGACGACUAGGUUUUUCUCCUCCGUUUCUCUACUCGCAGCGUGUGUAUCUCGGCUAGGUGGCUGCACUGCACCAACGUGGCUCGCAAGAAAUAUUUUUGAUAAGAUUACUCGAACAGAGUACAGGCCGCGGCCAUGGGCUGAAAAUAAAUACACGCCCACCCGGCCCAAUUUCGCCCAAGCUAGGUCCUCACACGCCCCAUCCCUCUCG
This 1070-nucleotide long non-coding RNA is filed under the name Brachypodium distachyon (stiff brome). RNAcentral's name for it is "long non-coding RNA (BDIS_LNC004375)". Lineage: Eukaryota; Viridiplantae; Streptophyta; Magnoliopsida; Poales; Poaceae. The record is from RNAcentral.